CUUGCCGGCAGUUACGACAGGCCAUUGGAUGUACGACAACGAGGUGGUGCCGGGAAGGGCUGACAUCACCGUUCUGCCGUUGCGUGCAUGCGUGUAGCCAAGGGGAGGGUGGAGCGGAGUCGCGUGGUGGAUGGAGGGCGUUAUCCUGCCAAGUGUUCGUGUAAAACCACCUUUUGAAGCAGCAGCUAUCAUGUCUGAAAAGCAAUUGAUGUUUCCAUUAAUCUUUUUCUGGGGGAAACCUUAAUUCUAAGGAUUUAACAUCCUAAAGCAGGCAGAAUCAUCCAACAGAAUCAGCAGCUGUGCUUCUAAAGGUUUCAAGGAUCCGGAGUGAGAGAAGUCCUUUGCAGAGAGGUGGAGAAGCAGGGGCGCAGCGUGAGCAGGACCCCAAAAGGGUUUCGCAGGAAGCGAGCCCAGGAGCUCUGCGACCCGACCCGUAGGAAUUGGAAGCGGGAUUGGAAGUGUGGAGGGAGGGCGAGACGCCCAGUCUAUAGGUGAAAGGAACUCUUCCGGCGCCCCAGGCCCCAGCCCCGCCCCCACACCGCCGCACUCUGUCCCCAGGCAUCCUGUUGUGGGGGCACAAUGUUCUAUUCGUGGGCUACCUGUUCUAGGCUUUUCUCCUGGCCCAGGCGUUCCUUCGUGUGGACUGGGCAGAGGACGAGCACAGGGCCAGGAUAGAGGGCCAGAGGACACCCUGGUGAGGUGAGAGCGUGCCAUGUUCCUCCUCCACUUCCCUGUGCUGGAAUGGGGAAGAGUGCGGCCACACCCAGGGUGGGUUCGCAGGACUCUGCGCGCGCUGCUCCCAGGCUCGCACCCUAUGAGAACCUCGGCUCUUCCUCCCCGGGGUGGGCGUGGACUUGGCGAAAGGGUAGGUUGGCCCGCGGAUGCCCUCUGCAGUUCCCGAGGACCUAGCCCCACUUCAAUGACCUCGGUUACCCGCAGCACCUCUGCCCUUGCCCUUUUCCCGCAGCAACAAAUGUGAACCACGUUUCUGCACCUACAGAGCCACGAGUUUCUCUGAUGACUGAGUACUGGGCUCCCCAGAAGGAUGGGGUGUGAGAAGCUUAGGUUUUGGGAGAGGCUAGAACCGAGCCUGCGGAAACACACACGGAUGUGGGCCUAGGUGGACUAGGCUCCAAAGAUGGCCCCAGUGAACCACAGCUCCUGCUAUUAAUGGUCGUGUGUACUUCCCACCUACAUUUGUAUGAGCUGGUCUGUGACUCGUGUUAACCACUUGAAUGCAGUAGAAAUGGUGCUGUACCAAUUCUAGACCUACUCUUUAAGAGGACUGGCAGCUUCCACUUUCUCCUUCUUGGAACAUUUGCUUUUGGGAGCCCUGAACCACCAUAAAAGAAGGCUGAUUACCUUACUGGAGAGACCCUGUGGAAAGAUUACAUGAAGAGGGGGAGAGACUCUAUUGUCAUAAUGUCCCUGUUAUCUGAAGAGAUGACUCCAGUCCCACCUGCCACCUGACUGCAACCAUAUGAGAGGCCCCAGGGGAGACCAGCAGAAGAACUGCCCACAUGAUUUCAGUCAAUCUACAGAAUCACAAGGGUCAUUCCAGUGCCCUCUAUUGACGAAGCUUAAAAUUCUGCCACCUGGCAAAGGAGAAGCUUUUGCAGGAUCCAAGUCUACUAUCACAAAACGUGGGGCAAAGAAGAGUGAAUUUAGAAUGGAGAACCAAUAAAUUGAUAAUUUGCACACCUUAA
Molecule: long non-coding RNA, 1706 nt
Organism: Ailuropoda melanoleuca (giant panda)
Lineage: Eukaryota; Metazoa; Chordata; Mammalia; Carnivora; Ursidae
Exons: 6
Source: RefSeq, a predicted model, not a curated record